This 253-nucleotide ribosomal RNA is filed under the name uncultured bacterium. RNAcentral's name for it is "partial 16S ribosomal RNA". It matches the Rfam family "Bacterial small subunit ribosomal RNA", at positions 524 to 776 of the family's 1533-position model. The record is from RNAcentral.
UACGUAGGGAGCAAGCGUUGUUCGGAUUUACUGGGCGUAAAGGGCGCGUAGGCGGCGCGGUAAGUCACUUGUGAAAUCUCUGAGCUUAACUCAGAACGGCCAAGUGAUACUGCAGUGCUGGAGUGCAGAAGGGGCAAUCGGAAUUCUUGGUGUAGCGGUGAAAUGCGUAGAUAUCAAGAGGAACACCUGAGGUGAAGACGGGUUGCUAGGCUGACACUGACGCUGAGGCGCGAAAGCCAGGGGAGCAAACGGG